RNAcentral lists this ribosomal RNA (440 nucleotides) under uncultured bacterium. Its description in RNAcentral is "partial 16S ribosomal RNA". It matches the Rfam family "Bacterial small subunit ribosomal RNA", at positions 338 to 795 of the family's 1533-position model. The record is from RNAcentral.
CCUACGGGUGGCAGCAGUGGGGAAUAUUGCACAAUGGGGGAAACCCUGAUGCAGCGACGCCGCGUGAGUGAAGAAGUAUUUCGGUAUGUAAAGCUCUAUCAGCAGGGAAGAAAAUGAAGGUACCUGACUAAUAAGCCCCGGCUAACUACGGGCCAGAACCCGCGGUAAGACGGCGGGGGCAAGCGUUAUCCGGAUGUACUGGGUGGAAAGGGAGCGUAGACGGCCAGACAAGUCAGUAGUGAAAGCCCAGGGCUCAACCCUGGGACUGCUUUUGAAACUGCCGGGCUUGAGUGCAGGAGAGGUAAGCGGAAUUCCUAGUGUAGCGGUGAAAUGCGUAGAUAUUAGGAGGAACACCAGUGGCGAAGGCGGCUUACUGGACUGUAACUGACGUUGAGGCUCGAAAGCGUGGGGAGCAAACAGGAUUAGAUACCCCUGUAGUC